GAGAGAUCAACCACAAAAUGCUCUGUGGGGCAGGUGACAGACAUCCUUCACACAACCAUUGAGGAGGACAGGUCCUGCUGAGCUGCUGCCUGUAUCCUAGCUGGCCAGAACAACCAGCAGCAAACACAGGCACUGGAGAGUGUUUGAAAGCCAAGAGAACUAACACGCUGUCCUUGGGCAAUCUUCCUUCCUUGGCUUAUGCACUAGGCCUAUUGCAGAGCAAGGAGAAAAAACGUGGUGGCUGGCAUCUCCACAGCAAGGACUGGUGGGACACACAGCCACCACAGUGUCCUGGUUACAGGAGUAUUUCUCUACUAGCUAUGAAGAAUUGAGAACAAGAAAAUGAAGCUGCUUGGAAAAUCAAUGAGUAGAUCUCAGAUUUUGCACGACUGAAGUUUGAAACUUUCUUGUUUCAAACUGUCAUGUCUGAGGGAAAAAAUGAGAAAAAAAGAACCCUCCAAGUAUCUAAGGCCUAAAGGCUGGGCUUGAAUGUAAAGAUAUUCAGACUCUGCUACCCAGGCUGCCUCUAGCUCUGCUGUCUGGCAUACUUCAGGAGUGAAAGAAAGCAAUGUAUUGCUGGACAACAGCUUCGGAAGUGCUUCUGCUAAAGGUGGACUCUGAACUUGGGCUGAACACCUCACGAGUCCUUCUCUGGAAAGUGCUCAGUACACUUCAGAACCAGACUGGUUGAAAGGAAGAUUGCUG
RNAcentral lists this long non-coding RNA (705 nucleotides) under Gallus gallus (chicken). Its description in RNAcentral is "lncRNA (ENSGALG00010010283.1)". The record is from RNAcentral. Lineage: Eukaryota; Metazoa; Chordata; Aves; Galliformes; Phasianidae.